ACGUAGGGGGCGAGCGUUAUUCGGAAUUACUGGGUGUAAAGGGUAUGUAGGCGGCCCUUCAAGUCGCGUGUCAAAGUCCAGUGCUCAACGCUGGCUGUGCGCGCGAGACUGACGGGCUUGAGGGCUGGAGAGGUGAGCGGAAUUCCCGGUGUAGUGGUAGAAGGCGUAGAGUUCGGGAGGAACACCAGCGACGCAGGCGGCUCACUAGACAGUUUCUGACGCUAAGAUACGAAAGCGUGGGGAGAAAACAG
This 251-nucleotide ribosomal RNA is filed under the name uncultured prokaryote. Its description in RNAcentral is "partial 16S rRNA". It matches the Rfam family "Bacterial small subunit ribosomal RNA", at positions 525 to 775 of the family's 1533-position model. The record is from RNAcentral.